This 1446-nucleotide long non-coding RNA is filed under the name Chinchilla lanigera (long-tailed chinchilla). Its description in RNAcentral is "lncRNA (ENSCLAG00000025204.1)". The record is from RNAcentral. Lineage: Eukaryota; Metazoa; Chordata; Mammalia; Rodentia; Chinchillidae.
AGAAAAUUAAAUGCCACCGCCCUCUUCGCGGCCAGGGGAGCGGCGCUGGAGGGGGCGGCGGGGCCGGGGCGUCCCCGGGAAGGGGGAGCCCCUGAGCGAAUUUGCGCACGCUCCUGUCAUUUGUUAGUUGAUUCCGUGGAAAAGUUUGCUAUUUAUAGGUUACACGCGGCCGCCGGGUCCUCGCGCCCGCUUCCCCCGGGCAGAGGAGAGCGGCCUGUCGCGGUGGCGUCCCGAGGUUUGAUUUGUUUUGUUUCUGCCCUCGCGUGCGCAGUGGGCACCCGGCGAAAAGACGGCGGGGAGCCCCGAAACCAGCCCUCGCCGGAGCGGGAAGAGCGAGCGCCUCGCACGCGACCCCGGCUGUGAACACAGAUCAGCUGCUACCGGGUGUACACAACCAGGGAGCAGAUCCACAGCACGCUGCGAGCAGCCUUUUUAACCCUGAGACUUUCCAAGAUCUGUGCACGCAGGAAGUUUCCUUCCCUGGUGUCAGAUGUAGCACCGAGCUCUCGUCUUCAGAUCUGAGCUGGGCUCCCUGCUGCACACCAGAGCGGCUUCUUUGAGACGUUUGUCCUUGAAACUGCACCAAACUCUUGGAAGAGCCCAGAACGUGUGAGUAGGGGUGAUUCAGGCAGCAUAGUCUAGGGGAGCUGCAACCAACAUUAUACCAGAUCCAAUUAGCCGGGCGGGAGGGGGUUUUCCAACGUUAUGUUACCUUCAUUUUCAAUUCGUUCUGAGGAAACAAAUCAAUUCUAGCUUCUGAUACAGUGACUUUGCAGUGGAUGGACUUGGAAUAUGUUAGCUUUAACUAUUUGCUGUUCUCAUUUAGUGAGUAGAUGUGACUUGUGGGACAGUGAUUGUGGGCAUUAAACUAUAAAACUUCUCAGUUUUUAUUAGGAAUGAUAAUUGUUGGUCAGGUCCAUUUUGAGAAGCGAGUUCGCUUUAGGGACUGUUUUGAAAGAAUUAACUACAUGAAUUCAUGGAGUAUGGAAUGAGUUGGUACCAUUCUUGUUCUCAAUAAAACAUAUUAGUUUGCAGUUUUAAUUUACUCAUAAGGAGCAUUCCUUUGAGGUUUGGUCUUAAUUGAAUCCUAUUCAGUGCUGUCUUUCUGGUGUUUUGCGGCUCGUAUGUGUCUGUUUAAGUUACUUGCUGGGAUUGCAGUCUGAUGAAGCUGUGCUGGGAUGUUCCUUAGAUUCUAAGAACAUUCGGAUGAAAGGAACGCUGUCAGAAUUUGGGGGAUGGUGGCCGACUUCUGAAGGCUCGGUGUGGGGUCACCCUUGAAAGCUUUUCAGCAGCACAGCCUGAAUGACUGUCAGACGGAGGCCACACUCAGAGGCCGGGAGUCAAUCUCAGCUUGUCCACUUUGGCAACUUCAACCAGUGAAAGCCCGGGCCCCCUUCCUAUCAAUUUUUAAUAUGCAACAAUACUUACCCUUCUAAGAUUAAUUUC